UCUCAAUGCCGUUGGAACAGUCCCUCUUAGU
Molecule: non-coding RNA, 31 nt
Filed under: Rattus norvegicus (Norway rat)
Lineage: Eukaryota; Metazoa; Chordata; Mammalia; Rodentia; Muridae
Source: RNAcentral